UUUGUGGGAAUGGGGAGUGUUGGUAUCCUGAAGGCAAAGUUUCGACAGGUUGUUCUACACAAAACAGAAACACGGGAUAACAUUGUCAUUAUCAUUUUGGACUUAUAAUUGGAAGGAUGGCCAGUACUAGAAGGUCUUGAUCGUUUUCCUGCUUUUGCUGUUUCACUCUCGAACGUCAACACCUUGACAUGCCUUAGCAUGUUGUCAUUAUAACUGGGCGCGAGAAUAAAGGGUACUACUAGUGUCAUCAAGACAACAUCAAAGUGAGGUAAAUAGGACCAGUGGAUGCUAUAUUUGUGUCACGCUCUUAACUUUACUCCGGCUUAGAACGCGUCUUCAAGGCAACAUCCUUUCGAGGAGG
Molecule: long non-coding RNA, 361 nt
Organism: Actinia tenebrosa (Australian red waratah sea anemone)
Lineage: Eukaryota; Metazoa; Cnidaria; Anthozoa; Actiniaria; Actiniidae
Source: RefSeq, a predicted model, not a curated record